This 483-nucleotide ribosomal RNA is filed under the name uncultured bacterium. RNAcentral describes it as "partial 16S ribosomal RNA". It matches the Rfam family "Bacterial small subunit ribosomal RNA", at positions 28 to 507 of the family's 1533-position model. The record is from RNAcentral.
GACGAACGCUGGCGGCGUGCUUAACACAUGCAAGUCGAACGCUGAAGCUCAGCUUUUGUUGGGUGGAUGAGUGGCGAACGGGUGAGUAACACGUGAGUAACCUGCCCCCUUCUUUGGGAUAACGCCCGGAAACGGGUGCUAAUACUGGAUAUUCACUGGUCUUCGCAUGGGGGUUGGUGGAAAGGGUUUUUCUGGUGGGGGAUGGGCUCGCGGCCUAUCAGCUUGUUGGUGGGGUGAUGGCCUACCAAGGCUUUGACGGGUAGCCGGCCUGAGAGGGUGACCGGUCACAGUGGGACUGAGAUACGGCCCAGACUCCUACGGGAGGCAGCAGUGGGGAAUAUUGCACAAUGGGCGCAAGCCUGGUGCAGCGACGCCGCGUGAGGGAUGGAGGCCUUCGGGUUGUGAACCUCUUUCGCUCAUGGUCAAGCCGCAACAAUGGUUGUGGUGAGGGUAGUGGGUAAAGAAGCGCCGGCUAACUACGUG